UGUUCGUUGUAUUGCUCUUGGUGGAGUUCAUUCUAUUGCUCUUACUUCGCUUGGUCAGCUUUUCACUUGGUCAGUGCUUAAUCCGCUCUGCAAUUUUUUUUAAAUUAAAUCUCUUUUGUUUAGUAAAUGUGGGUAUGUUUCGGUAUCUUGAAAGUGCCGUGGCUUUUUUUCUUUGUAGCUGUUGAGGAAUGUAAUCGCUGUUUAAUUUUGGGGGAAGAAGAAAAACGAAGAUUGAAGUAAAAAUUGGGUUAAAAGAAAAGAAAGAGAAAUAAACAGAGGUGAGGGUUAACGUGAGACAAAAGGCUCAUUACUCUCCUUCUCUUCCUCCAUUCCCUCCACUACAUCAUUCUUUUAGCACCAUUGCCAUUAUCAUUAUUCCUUUUACUCACUUCCACUGCCCCCUUCGUACUCCUCUUGCAUCAUUACCCUCUAUUCCUUUGACUUUAACCGCCCCGUCAUUCCUCUCCUCUUCUUCAUAAACUUCUUCUUCCUCUUCAUCCUCAUAAACAUCCCCUUCUUCAUCAUCUUCUUCUAAUUCUGUCAUGUUCCUCUUCGUCUUCAUCAUCAUCAUCAUCAUACUCAGCUGAAGCACCACCUUGGCCAUCAGAUUCAUCGUAAGAGUGAAUCUGGAGCCUUCAAUUCAUUCGACGCUCAAAUUCUGUCUCCUCCUCCUCCUCAUCGCUUGUUUCCCUUCUGUGCAGAACGAGAGAGUGUAUCACUUCAUCUGGAUCGUUCUCAUACUUAUCCACAGCCUCCGCCUCUCCCGCAGGAAUAUGCACACUUUGAGCGAUUGGAAGCUCUGAAUCUCUCUCAUCCUCCGCCUCCUCCUCAUCAGUGGCUUCCCUUCUGCGCAUCACAAGAGAGCGUUUCAUUUCAUCUGGAUCCCUAUCAUACUCCUCCACCGCCUCUGCUUUUUCUGGAGCUGCAGCCGCCGUUGUAGUAUCGCUAGCCAUCAAUUUAGGAUUAGAUGCCCAAUCUUUUUAUGAAUUUUAAUUUAAAUUUUAUAAAAAAUUCGAAAUUGCACUUAACCCUUCUUACUGAAACUGUAACUAGAGGAAAUUGCACUCAAACAAAACCAAAAAAUUUCAAAA
This 1091-nucleotide long non-coding RNA is filed under the name Citrus sinensis (sweet orange). RNAcentral describes it as "long non-coding RNA (CSIN_LNC000277)". Lineage: Eukaryota; Viridiplantae; Streptophyta; Magnoliopsida; Sapindales; Rutaceae. The record is from RNAcentral.